AUUGAACGCUGGCGGCAGGCCUAACACAUGCAAGUCGAGCGGAUGAAGGGAGCUUGCUCCUGGAUUCAGCGGCGGACGGGUGAGUAAUGCCUAGGAAUCUGCCUGGUAGUGGGGGAUAACGUCCGGAAACGGGCGCUAAUACCGCAUACGUCCUGAGGGAGAAAGUGGGGGAUCUUCGGACCUCACGCUAUCAGAUGAGCCUAGGUCGGAUUAGCUAGUUGGUGGGGUAAAGGCCUACCAAGGCGACGAUCCGUAACUGGUCUGAGAGGAUGAUCAGUCACACUGUAACUGAGACACGUCCCAGACUCCUACGGGAGGCAGCAGUGGGGAAUAUUGGACAAUGGGCGAAAGCCUGAUCCAGCCAUGCCGCGGGUGUGAAGAAGGUCUUCUGAUUGUAAAGCACUUUAAGUUGUGAGGAAGGGCAGUAAGUUAAUACCUUGCUGUUUUGACGUUACCAACAGAAUAAGCACCGGCUAACUUCGUG
RNAcentral lists this ribosomal RNA (484 nucleotides) under uncultured bacterium. Its description in RNAcentral is "partial 16S ribosomal RNA". It matches the Rfam family "Bacterial small subunit ribosomal RNA", at positions 30 to 507 of the family's 1533-position model. The record is from RNAcentral.